This 466-nucleotide ribosomal RNA is filed under the name uncultured bacterium. Its description in RNAcentral is "bacterial SSU rRNA". It matches the Rfam family "Bacterial small subunit ribosomal RNA", at positions 338 to 795 of the family's 1533-position model. The record is from RNAcentral.
CCUACGGGACGCAGCAGUGGGGAAUAUUGGACAAUGGGGGGAACCCUGAUCCAGCCAUGCCGCGUGUGUGAAGAAGGCCUUAUGGUUGUAAAGCACUUUAAGCGAGGAGGAGGGUACUGGUAUUAAUACUACCAGGUACUGGACGUUACUCGCAGAAUAAGCACCGGCUAACUCUGUGCCAGCAGCCGCGGUAAUACAGAGGGUGCGAGCGUUAAUCGGAUUUACUGGGCGUAAAGCGUGCGUAGGCGGCUAAUUGAGUCGGAUGUGAAAUCCCCGAGCUUAACUUGGGAAUUGCAUUCGAUACUGGUUAGCUAGAGUGUGGGAGAGGAUGGUAGAAUUCCAGGUGUAGCGGUGAAAUGCGUAGAGAUCUGGAGGAAUACCGAUGGCGAAGGCAGCCAUCUGGCCUAACACUGACGCUGAGGUACGAAAGCAUGGGGAGCAAACAGGAUUAGAUACCCCUGUAGUC